This 600-nucleotide ribosomal RNA is filed under the name uncultured marine picoplankton. RNAcentral describes it as "SSU rRNA". It matches the Rfam family "Eukaryotic small subunit ribosomal RNA", at positions 594 to 1213 of the family's 1831-position model. The record is from RNAcentral.
AUAGCGUAUAUUUAAGUUGUUGCAGUUAAAAAGNCUCGUAGUCGGAUUUUGGCUGAGAACGGUCGGUCCGCCGUUAGGUGUGCACUGACUGGUCUCAGCUUCCUGGUGAGGAGGUGUGCUUCACGGCCACUUAGUCACCGUGGUUACUUUGAAAAAAUUAGAGUGUUCAAAGCGGGCUUACGCUUGAAUAUAUUAGCAUGGAAUAACACCAUAGGACUCCUGUCCUAUUUCGUUGGUCUCGGGACGGGAGUAAUGAUUAAGAGGAACAGUUGGGGGCAUUCGUAUUUCAUUGUCAGAGGUGAAAUUCUUGGAUUUAUGAAAGACGAACUUCUGCGAAAGCAUUUGCCAAGGAUGUUUUCAUUGAUCAAGAACGAAAGUUGGGGGCUCGAAGAUGAUUAGAUACCAUCCUAGUCUCAACCAUAAACGAUGCCGACUAGGGAUUGGCGGAUGUUAAUUGAUGACUUCGCCAGCACCUUAUGAGAAAUCAAAGUUUUUGGGUUCCGGGGGGAGUAUGGUCGCAAGGCUGAAACUUAAAGGAAUUGACGGAAGGGCACCACCAGGCGUGGAGCCUGCGGCUUAAUUUGACUCAACACGGGGAAA